This is a non-coding RNA of Cyanistes caeruleus (blue tit), 565 nucleotides long. The record is from RefSeq and is a predicted model, not a curated record. NCBI's taxonomy places the organism in Eukaryota, Metazoa, Chordata, Aves, Passeriformes, Paridae.
CCCCUACCAUAUACCCAAGGAUGAUGGUAUCAAUAUCCACAGCAUGUGAUUCAAACCCUCAAUGACUGCAAUGCACAAUGCAAGGAGAGAUUCGGAGGCUGGAAUAGGGGCUGCUGCUUCCACAGGAGAACAGCUCUUGAGGCUUCAAAGUGAGAAAUCUGAGGUAACGAUCAGAAGCCAAGCAUCUUUCUUGACUGGGAACAGGUUGGAACCUAUAAAUUAUUAAGAGGUACACCAUGGAACAGAACUGGUGGUAAAUGCCAGACUCCUAGCAAGCACUGGACCUGCUGUGCCUGCCCCAACCCAGCUAAGCCUGUGUCUGCACUGGCACUUCAGUUGCUCUCAGUUGGCAUCUGACAGUACCUCUGCCACCAGCAGAUAACCAAACAGGUGAAGAAUUAAGAAUGAAAGAAGUUUGUACACUUUGGACAUGUCUUAGAAUGUUUAUUUCAGAUCCUUGAGCCCAUUUUGGACUGUGAGAAACUUCAGCACUGGUCUCUGUGACAUCUGCUUGUGUCAAUGAUGGGAAACAUGUGGAAUAUGAAAAAAACCAACAACAACAAAA